Pelobates cultripes (western spadefoot toad) is the source of this 194-nucleotide non-coding RNA. The record is from the annotation of a GenBank genome assembly. NCBI's taxonomy places the organism in Eukaryota, Metazoa, Chordata, Amphibia, Anura, Pelobatidae.
CUUUCAGUGAAGAUCCGUUCGGGAGAGUAGCUGUCGACAUUAUAGUUGCGAUGGCAACUUUGCAUUCAGAUGUCGGCCCUAUCAACUUUCGAUGCCACUUUCUGCGCCUACCAUGGUGACCACGGGUAAUUGGGAAUCAGGGUUCGAUUCCGGAGUGGCAGCCUGAGAAAAGGCUACCACAUCCAAGGAAGGCA